UGGACUGGGAUAACGUUGGGAAACUGACGCUAAGACCGGAUGUGCCGAGAGGUGAAAUAUUUUAUAGCCAGUAGAUGAGCUCGCGUCAGAUUAGCUAGUUGGUGGUGUAAGGGACCACCAAGGCGAUGAUCUGUAGCUGGUCUGAGAGGAUGAUCAGCCACACUGGGACUGAGACACGGCCCAGACUCCUACGGGAGGCAGCAGUGGGGAAUUUUCCGCAAUGGGCGCAAGCCUGACGGAGCAAUACCGCGUGAGGGAGGAAGGCUUUUGGGUCGUAAACCUCUUUUCUUUGGGAAGAUAAUGACGGUACCAGAGGAAUCAGCAUCGGCUAACUCCGUGCCAGCAGCCGCGGUAAUACGGAGGAUGCAAGCGUUAUCCGGAAUUAUUGGGCGUAAAGCGUUCGUAGGUGGACCAACAAGUCAGCAGUUAAAGCGUGGAGCUAAACUCCAUAAGGGCUGUUGAAACUGAUGGACUAGAGUGCGGUAGGGGUUACGGGAAUUCCCAGUGUAGCGGUGAAAUGCGUAGAUAUUGGGAAGAACACCAGCGGCGAAAGCGCGUAACUGGGCCUGCACUGACACUGAGGGACGAAAGCUAGGGGAGCGAAAGGGAUUAGAUACCCCUGUAGUCCUAGCCGUAAACGAUGACAACUAGGUGUUGGACGUAUCGACCCGUUCAGUGCCGAAGCUAACGCGU
Molecule: ribosomal RNA, 693 nt
Filed under: uncultured cyanobacterium
Lineage: Bacteria; Bacillati; Cyanobacteriota
Description: bacterial SSU rRNA
Rfam family: Bacterial small subunit ribosomal RNA
Source: RNAcentral